This 249-nucleotide ribosomal RNA is filed under the name uncultured crenarchaeote. RNAcentral describes it as "partial 16S ribosomal RNA". It matches the Rfam family "Archaeal small subunit ribosomal RNA", at positions 478 to 726 of the family's 1478-position model. The record is from RNAcentral. Lineage: Archaea; Thermoproteati; Thermoproteota.
AGCGCCUCGAGUGGUACCCACGAAUAUUGGGCCUAAAGCGUCCGUAGCCGGACUGAUUAGUCCACUGUGAAAUGUUGGGGCUCAACCCUAACGCGUGCAGUGGAUACUGUCAGCCUUGGGAACGGGGGAGGGUCGGAGUACUUCCAGGGUAGGGGUAAAAUCCGUUGAGCCUGGAAGGACUACCAGUGGCGAAGGCGCCGAUCCAAAACGUAUCCGACGGUGAGGGACGAAAGCUGGGGGAGCGAACGG